CAGCACGCGGUAAUACCGGCGGCCCGAGUGGCGGUCACUAUUAUUGGGCUUAAAGCGUCCGUAGCCGGGUUGGGAAGUCCUCCGGGGAAUCUGGCCGCUUAACGGUCAGAAUGCCGGAGGAUACUCCCAGCCUAGGGAGCGGGAGAGGCCGAGGGGAUUCCCGGGGUAGGGGGGAAAUCCUAUAAUCCCGGGAGGACCACCUGUGGCGAAGGCGCUCGGCUGGAACGCGUCCGACGGUGAGGGACGAAGGCCAGGGGAGCAAACCGGAUUAGAUACCCGGGUAGUCCUGGCUGUAAACGAUGCGGACUUUGUGUCGGACAAGCUAUGAGCUUGUCCGGUGCCGGAGGGAAACCGUUAAGUCCGCCGCCUGGGGAGUACGGCCGCAAGGCUGAAACUUAAAGGAAUUGGCGGG
This 412-nucleotide ribosomal RNA is filed under the name uncultured microorganism. Its description in RNAcentral is "bacterial SSU rRNA". It matches the Rfam family "Archaeal small subunit ribosomal RNA", at positions 459 to 872 of the family's 1478-position model. The record is from RNAcentral.